This 389-nucleotide ribosomal RNA is filed under the name Dinophyceae sp. RNAcentral's name for it is "partial small subunit ribosomal RNA". It matches the Rfam family "Eukaryotic small subunit ribosomal RNA", at positions 582 to 975 of the family's 1831-position model. Lineage: Eukaryota; Dinophyceae. The record is from RNAcentral.
AUUCCAGCUCCAAUAGCGUAUAUUAAAGUUGUUGCGGUUAAAAAGCUCGUAGUUGGAUUUCUGCUGAGGACGACCGGUCCGCCCUCUGGGUGAGUAUCUGGCUUGGCCUUGGCAUCUUCUUGGAGAACGUAGCUGCACUUGACUGUGUGGUGCGGUAUCCAGGACUUUUACUUUGAGGAAAUUAGAGUGUUUCAAGCAGGCACACGCCUUGAAUACAUUAGCAUGGAAUAAUAAGAUAGGACCUUGGUUCUAUUUUGUUGGUUUCUAGAGCUGAGGUAAUGAUUAAUAGGGAUAGUUGGGGGCAUUAGUAUUUAUUAGCUAGAGGUGGAAUUCUCUAAUUUGAUAAAGACUAACUUAUGCGAAAGCAUUUGCCAAGGAUGUUUUCAUCG